GAAGGCCAGGCUGAAGACUUUGCCGGAUUAGCUGAGAGGUGGUGCAUGGCCGUCGUCAGUUCGUACUGUGAAGCAUCCUGUUAAGUCAGGCAACGAGCGAGACCCACGCCCACAGUUGCCAGCGUACUCUCUGGAGUGACGGGUACACUGUGGGGACCGCCGCUGCUAAAGCGGAGGAAGGAAUGGGCAACGGUAGGUCAGUAUGCCCCGAAUAUCCCGGGCUACACGCGAGCUACAAUGGUUGGUACAAUGGGUAUCGACACCGAAAGGUGAAGGCAAUCUCCUAAACCCAUCCGUAGUUCGGAUUGUGGGCUGCAACUCGCCCACAUGAAGCUGGAAUCUGUAGUAAUCGUGUCUCAAAAUGGCACGGUGAAUAUGUCCCUGCUCCUU
RNAcentral lists this ribosomal RNA (390 nucleotides) under uncultured Methanolinea sp. Its description in RNAcentral is "bacterial SSU rRNA". It matches the Rfam family "Archaeal small subunit ribosomal RNA", at positions 949 to 1338 of the family's 1478-position model. The record is from RNAcentral. Lineage: Archaea; Methanobacteriati; Methanobacteriota; Methanomicrobia; Methanomicrobiales; Methanoregulaceae.